UUAAGCUAUUGGGUUCAUACCCCACUUAUAAAGGUAAUAAUCCUUUUCUUUUUAAUUAAAAAAAUUUCCAAUAACAUUUUUUUUAUUAUAUUAAUUUCUGGGUCUUUAAUUACUAUUUCAGCUAACUCUUGACUAGGGGCAUGAAUAGGAUUAGAAAUUAAUUUACUUUCAUUUAUUCCCUUGAUAAAUGAAAUUAAAAAAAAUCUAAUAACUUCAGAAAGUAGAUUAAAAUAUUUUUUAAUUCAAGCCUUUGCUUCUUCAAUUUUAUUAUUUGCUAUUAUUUUAAUAAUAAUAUUUUUUAAUAGAAAUUGAAUAAUAAAUAAUAAUUUUAAUAAUUUAUUAAUUUUAUCAACAUUAUUAUUAAAAAGAGGAGCAGCCCCCUUUCAUUUUUGAUUUCCUGGAGUAAUAGAAGGGUUAUCUUGAAUUAAUGGAUUAAUCCUCAUAACUUGACAAAAAAUUGCCCCAUUAAUAUUAAUUUCUUAUAAUUUAAAUUAUAAUUUUUUUCUAUUUACUAUUUUAUUUUCUAUAAUUAUUGGAGCAUUUGGGGGAUUAAAUCAAACUUCCUUACGUAAAUUAAUAGCUUUUUCUUCUAUUAAUCAUUUAGGAUGAAUGCUUUUAGCUAUAAUAAAUAAUGAAUUAUUAUGAAUAACAUAUUUUAUUUUAUAUUCAAUUUUAUCAAUUUCAAUUAUUUUAAUAUUUAAUAAUUUUAAAUUAUUUCAUUUUAAUCAAAUUUUUAAUUUAUCUAUAAUAAAUCCUUACAUAAAAUUUUUUAUAUUUUUAAAUUUAUUAUCAUUAGGAGGAUUACCCCCCUUUUUAGGAUUUUUACCUAAAUGAUUAGUCAUUCAAAAUUUAGUAGAAAUAAAUCAAAUGUUUAUUUUAUUUAUUGCUGUUUGUUUAACAUUAGUAACUCUUUAUUAUUAUUUACGAAUAUCUUAUAGUAUUUACAUAUUAAAUUAUAAUAAAAAUUCUUGAUUAUUAAUUAAUCAACAUAAUAAUAAUAAUUUAACAUUAUUUUUACUAUAAAUUUUAUUUCUAUUAUAGGAUUAUUAAUAAUUUCAUUAAUUUUUAUAAUUUUAUAAUAAGAAUUUAAGUUAAAUAAACUAAUAGCCUUCAAAGCUGAAAAUAUUUGUAUUAAUCUUUUAAUUCUUAAACUUUAAUAAUUAAAAAAUUAUUCCUUUAGAAUUGCAGUCUAAUAUCAUUAUUGAAUAUAAAGUUUGAUUAAAAAGAAUAUUUCUUAUACAUAAAUUUACAAUUUAUUGCCUAAACUUCAGCCAUUUAAUCGCGACAAUGGUUAUUUUCAACAAAUCAUAAAGAUAUUGGGACAUUAUACUUUAUUUUUGGUAUUUGAUCCGGAAUAGUCGGAACUUCACUAAGAGUUUUAAUUCGUACUGAACUUAGACAUCCCGGUAUAUUUAUUGGAAAUGAUCAAAUUUAUAAUGUAAUUGUUACUGCUCAUGCUUUUAUUAUAAUUUUUUUUAUAGUAAUACCUAUCAUAAUUGGAGGAUUUGGAAACUGACUAGUACCCUUAAUACUAGGAGCCCCUGAUAUAGCUUUCCCUCGAAUAAAUAAUAUAAGUUUUUGAAUAUUACCCCCCUCUUUAACACUGCUGCUUUCUAGUUCUAUAGUAGAAAACGGAGCUGGAACAGGAUGAACGGUUUAUCCUCCUCUUUCUUCUGGAACAGCUCAUGCUGGAGCUUCAGUUGAUUUAGCAAUUUUUUCUUUACAUUUAGUGGGAAUCUCAUCUAUUUUAGGAGCAGUAAAUUUUAUUACAACUGUAAUUAAUAUACGAUCAGCUGGUAUUACUCUUGAUCGACUACCUUUAUUUGUAUGAUCAGUAGUAAUUACAGCUAUUUUAUUACUUCUUUCUCUACCCGUAUUAGCCGGAGCUAUUACUAUAUUAUUAACAGACCGAAAUUUAAAUACAUCUUUUUUUGAUCCAAUUGGAGGGGGAGACCCUAUUUUAUAUCAACAUUUAUUUUGAUUUUUUGGUCAUCCAGAAGUUUAUAUUUUAA
Molecule: RNA transcript, 2012 nt
Organism: Aedes albopictus (Asian tiger mosquito)
Lineage: Eukaryota; Metazoa; Arthropoda; Insecta; Diptera; Culicidae
Gene name: NADH-ubiquinone oxidoreductase chain 2-like
Exons: 1
Source: RefSeq, a predicted model, not a curated record